RNAcentral lists this ribosomal RNA (497 nucleotides) under uncultured bacterium. RNAcentral's name for it is "partial 16S ribosomal RNA". It matches the Rfam family "Bacterial small subunit ribosomal RNA", at positions 28 to 507 of the family's 1533-position model. The record is from RNAcentral.
GAUGAACGCUGGCGGCGUGCCUAAUACAUGCAAGUCGAGCGAACAGACGAGGAGCUUGCUCCUCUGACGUUAGCGGCGGACGGGUGAGUAACACGUGGAUAACCGACCUAUAAGACUGGGAUAACUUCGGGAAACCGGAGCUAAUACCGGAUAAUAUAUUGAACCGCAUGGUUCAAUAGUGAAAGACGGUUUUGCUGUCACUUAUAGAUGUAUCCGCGCCGCAUUAGCUAGUUGGUAAGGUAACGGCUUACCAAGGCAACGAUGCGUAGCCGACCUGAGAGGGUGAUCGGCCACACUGGAACUGAGACACGGUCCAGACUCCUACGGGAGGCAGCAGUAGGGAAUCUUCCGCAAUGGGCGAAAGCUUGACGGAGCAACGCCGCGUGAGUGAUGAAGGUCUUCGGAUCGUAAAACUCUGUUAUUAGGGAAGAACAAAUGUGUAAGUAACUAUGCACGUCUUGACGGUACCUAAUCAGAAAGCCACGGCUAACUACGUG